Molecule: ribosomal RNA, 780 nt
Filed under: Triticum aestivum (bread wheat)
Lineage: Eukaryota; Viridiplantae; Streptophyta; Magnoliopsida; Poales; Poaceae
Description: partial small subunit ribosomal RNA
Source: RNAcentral
AUGGCGGCUGUGUACUCCCAGUCCCAGGGCAACGCCGUCGACAUGGCCGACAUACAAGACCUCACCAACAUAAGCCACAUGCUGCUGUCCCUGCUUCCGUUUGCUUCGCCGCCGGAGGUAGCGCAGCUGGCGUUUGCGCUGUGGGUGCUGGGCUCCACCACCCUUGUCCUGGCCCUGACCAUCCUCUUCCACCUGCCGCCCGCGGGACCCGUCUUUGGCCGCUUUGCUGCAGCCUACUACGCCAUUCUCGGGGUCGUCCUCCUCGUCGCCGUGCCGGUGGAGCUGGGGACCGCGCUCUGCCUGCGCGUGCGGCGCCACAGCCUCCUCAUAGCCUUCGCCUCGUACCUCCUGCCCUGCGCUCACGUGCUCCUCCUCCUCGUCGUCUCGGAAUGCUAUUCUUGGAAGUUAUGUCUCGUAGCAGUUCUUCAAGGAAAUGAAGCCAAUGGUUAUUAUGUCUUUGGCAUGCAACCGCCUUCUUCUGCAGAUGUCUCAGAGAAUGUGCAGAGCAAGACGUGCUCUGUUUUUUUUUUGAAAGGUCUGCUCUGCAUUUUCGCUCAGCGCGGCCACAAUUUCUACAUGGUCAGCAUCGACAUCUUGCCGAAGCAGCACUCAACGUGUCAGGUCGGCUUCCUGCAGUACGGCUUCUCCCACACAGUGGUGCAGAUCCUGAACUCGCUCGACGUCCUCAACAAUGAGGAGCUCAAGGAGUACUCCAGCUGGCCAACCUUCCGGCAGUACUACACUGACGGUGAGUUCUUCUGCGGGGCGACAUCACGGUAG